Molecule: ribosomal RNA, 1586 nt
Filed under: Enterococcus avium
Lineage: Bacteria; Bacillati; Bacillota; Bacilli; Lactobacillales; Enterococcaceae
Description: partial 23S ribosomal RNA
Rfam family: Bacterial large subunit ribosomal RNA
Source: RNAcentral
GAAACCCAGCAUCUUUUAUAGGAUGUUACUUUUCAGUGAAUACAUAGCUGAUUAGAGGUAGACGCAGAGAACUGAAACAUCUAAGUACCUGCAGGAAGAGAAAGAAAAAUCGAUUCCCUGAGUAGCGGCGAGCGAAACGGGAAAAGCCCAAACCAAGAGGCUUGCCUCUUGGGGUUGUAGGACUCCGAUAUGGUAGUCCAGUGAGAUAGUCGAAGGACCUGGAAAGGUCUGCUAGAAAGGGUAAAAGCCCCGUAGACAAAAUUUGACUGGCACCUAGGAGGAUCCUGAGUACGGCGGAACACGAGGAAUUCCGUCGGAAUCCGGGAGGACCAUCUCCCAAGGCUAAAUACUCCCUAGUGACCGAUAGUGAACCAGUACCGUGAGGGAAAGGUGAAAAGCACCCCGGAAGGGGAGUGAAAUAGAUCCUGAAACCGUGUGCCUACAACAAGUUAGAGCCCGUUAAUGGGUGAUAGCGUGCCUUUUGUAGAAUGAACCGGCGAGUUACGAUUACUUGCGAGGUUAAGUUGAAAAGACGGAGCCGCAGCGAAAGCGAGUCUGAAUAGGGCGAAUGAGUAAGUGGUCGUAGACCCGAAACCAUGUGAUCUACCCAUGUCCAGGUUGAAGGUGCGGUAAAACGCACUGGAGGACCGAACCCACGUACGUUGAAAAGUGCGGGGAUGAGGUGUGGGUAGCGGAGAAAUUCCAAACGAACUUGGAGAUAGCUGGUUCUCUCCGAAAUAGCUUUAGGGCUAGCCUCAGAGUAAGAAUGAUGGAGGUAGAGCACUGUUUGGACUAGGGGCCCAUCUCGGGUUACCGAAUUCAGAUAAACUCCGAAUGCCAUCCAUUCAUCUCUGGGAGUCAGACUGUGAGUGAUAAGAUCCAUAGUCGAAAGGGAAACAGCCCAGACCACCAGCUAAGGUCCCCAAAUAACUAUUAAGUGGAAAAGGAUGUGGGGUUGCACAGACAACUAGGAUGUUGGCUUAGAAGCAGCCACCAUUUAAAGAGUGCGUAAUAGCUCACUAGUCGAGUGACCCUGCGCCGAAAAUGUACCGGGGCUAAAUAGUUUACCGAAGCUGUGGAACACACCAGUGGUGUGUUGGUAGGAGAGCGUUCUAAGGGCGUUGAAGGUAGAUCGUGAGGACUGCUGGAGCGCUUAGAAGUGAGAAUGCCGGUAUGAGUAGCGAAAGACAGGUGAGAAUCCUGUCCACCGAAUGACUAAGGUUUCCUGGGGAAGGCUCGUCCGCCCAGGGUUAGUCGGGACCUAAGCCGAGGCCGAAAGGCGUAGGCGAUGGAUAACAGGUUGAUAUUCCUGUACCCGUUGUUUUUGUUUGAGCAAUGGAGGGACGCAGGAGGCUAAGGAAUCAGACGAUUGGAAAUGUCUGUCCAAGCAAUGAGUCUUGAUGUGAGUCAAAUGCUUACAUCUUUAAGGACAAGUUGUGAUGGGGAGGGAAAUAAUAGUACCGAAGUUCCUGAUGUCACACUGCCGAGAAAAGCUUCUAGUGAGAAAACAAUGGCCCGUACCGCAAACCGACACAGGUAGUCGAGGAGAGAAUCCUAAGGUGAGCGAGAGAACUCUCGUUAAGGAA